AGCGUACACGGUGGAUGCCCUGGCAGUCAGAGGCGAUGAAGGACGUGCUAAUCUGCGAUAAGCGUCGGUAAGGUGAUAUGAACCGUUAUAACCGGCGAUUUCCGAAUGGGGAAACCCAGUGUGUUUCGACACACUAUCAUUAACUGAAUCCAUAGGUUAAUGAGGCGAACCGGGGGAACUGAAACAUCUAAGUACCCCGAGGAAAAGAAAUCAACCGAGAUUCCCCCAGUAGCGGCGAGCGAACGGGGAAGAGCCCAGAGCCUGAAUCAGUGUGUGUGUUAGUGGAAGCGUCUGGAAAGGCGCGCGAUACAGGGUGACAGCCCCGUACACAAAAAUGCACAUGCUGUGAGCUCGAUGAGUAGGGCGGGACACGUGGUAUCCUGUCUGAAUAUGGGGGGACCAUCCUCCAAGGCUAAAUACUCCUGACUGACCGAUAGUGAACCAGUACCGUGAGGGAAAGGCGAAAAGAACCCCGGCGAGGGGAGUGAAAAAGAACCUGAAACCGUGUACGUACAAGCAGUGGGAGCACGCUUAGGCGUGUGACUGCGUACCUUUUGUAUAAUGGGUCAGCGACUUAUAUUCUGUAGCAAGGUUAACCGAAUAGGGGAGCCGAAGGGAAACCGAGUCUUAACUGGGCGUUAAGUUGCAGGGUAUAGACCCGAAACCCGGUGAUCUAGCCAUGGGCAGGUUGAAGGUUGGGUAACACUAACUGGAGGACCGAACCGACUAAUGUUGAAAAAUUAGCGGAUGACUUGUGGCUGGGGGUGAAAGGCCAAUCAAACCGGGAGAUAGCUGGUUCUCCCCGAAAGCUAUUUAGGUAGCGCCUCGUGAAUUCAUCUCCGGGGGUAGAGCACUGUUUCGGCAAGGGGGUCAUCCCGACUUACCAACCCGAUGCAAACUGCGAAUACCGGAGAAUGUUAUCACGGGAGACACACGGCGGGUGCUAACGUCCGUCGUGAAGAGGGAAACAACCCAGACCGCCAGCUAAGGUCCCAAAGUCAUGGUUAAGUGGGAAACGAUGUGGGAAGGCCCAGACAGCCAGGAUGUUGGCUUAGAAGCAGCCAUCAUUUAAAGAAAGCGUAAUAGCUCACUGGUCGAGUCGGCCUGCGCGGAAGAUGUAACGGGGCUAAACCAUGCACCGAAGCUGCGGCAGCGACACUAUGUGUUGUUGGGUAGGGGAGCGUUCUGUAAGCCUGUGAAGGUGUACUGUGAGGUAUGCUGGAGGUAUCAGAAGUGCGAAUGCUGACAUAAGUAACGAUAAAGCGGGUGAAAAGCCCGCUCGCCGGAAGACCAAGGGUUCCUGUCCAACGUUAAUCGGGGCAGGGUGAGUCGACCCCUAAGGCGAGGCCGAAAGGCGUAGUCGAUGGGAAACAGGUUAAUAUUCCUGUACUUGGUGUUACUGCGAAGGGGGGACGGAGAAGGCUAUGUUGGCCGGGCGACGGUUGUCCCGGUUUAAGCGUGUAGGCUGGUUUUCCAGGCAAAUCCGGAAAAUCAAGGCUGAGGCGUGAUGACGAGGCACUACGGUGCUGAAGCAACAAAUGCCCUGCUUCCAGGAAAAGCCUCUAAGCAUCAGGUAACAUCAAAUCGUACCCCAAACCGACACAGGUGGUCAGGUAGAGAAUACCAAGGCGCUUGAGAGAACUCGGGUGAAGGAACUAGGCAAAAUGGUGCCGUAACUUCGGGAGAAGGCACGCUGAUAUGUAGGUGAAGCGACUUGCUCGUGGAGCUGAAAUCAGUCGAAGAUACCAGCUGGCUGCAACUGUUUAUUAAAAACACAGCACUGUGCAAACACGAAAGUGGACGUAUACGGUGUGACGCCUGCCCGGUGCCGGAAGGUUAAUUGAUGGGGUUAGCGCAAGCGAAGCUCUUGAUCGAAGCCCCGGUAAACGGCGGCCGUAACUAUAACGGUCCUAAGGUAGCGAAAUUCCUUGUCGGGUAAGUUCCGACCUGCACGAAUGGCGUAAUGAUGGCCAGGCUGUCUCCACCCGAGACUCAGUGAAAUUGAACUCGCUGUGAAGAUGCAGUGUACCCGCGGCAAGACGGAAAGACCCCGUGAACCUUUACUAUAGCUUGACACUGAACAUUGAGCCUUGAUGUGUAGGAUAGGUGGGAGGCUUUGAAGUGUGGACGCCAGUCUGCAUGGAGCCGACCUUGAAAUACCACCCUUUAAUGUUUGAUGUUCUAACGUUGACCCGUAAUCCGGGUUGCGGACAGUGUCUGGUGGGUAGUUUGACUGGGGCGGUCUCCUCCUAAAGAGUAACGGAGGAGCACGAAGGUUGGCUAAUCCUGGUCGGACAUCAGGAGGUUAGUGCAAUGGCAUAAGCCAGCUUGACUGCGAGCGUGACGGCGCGAGCAGGUGCGAAAGCAGGUCAUAGUGAUCCGGUGGUUCUGAAUGGAAGGGCCAUCGCUCAACGGAUAAAAGGUACUCCGGGGAUAACAGGCUGAUACCGCCCAAGAGUUCAUAUCGACGGCGGUGUUUGGCACCUCGAUGUCGGCUCAUCACAUCCUGGGGCUGAAGUAGGUCCCAAGGGUAUGGCUGUUCGCCAUUUAAAGUGGUACGCGAGCUGGGUUUAGAACGUCGUGAGACAGUUCGGUCCCUAUCUGCCGUGGGCGCUGGAGAACUGAGGGGGGCUGCUCCUAGUACGAGAGGACCGGAGUGGACGCAUCACUGGUGUUCGGGUUGUCAUGCCAAUGGCACUGCCCGGUAGCUAAAUGCGGAAGAGAUAAGUGCUGAAAGCAUCUAAGCACGAAACUUGCCCCGAGAUGAGUUCU
RNAcentral lists this ribosomal RNA (2772 nucleotides) under Escherichia coli. Its description in RNAcentral is "bacterial LSU rRNA". It matches the Rfam family "Bacterial large subunit ribosomal RNA". The record is from RNAcentral. Lineage: Bacteria; Pseudomonadati; Pseudomonadota; Gammaproteobacteria; Enterobacterales; Enterobacteriaceae.